UACGAAGGGGACUAGCGUUGUUCGGAAUCACUGGGCGUAAAGGGUGCGUAGGCGGGUCUUUAAGUCAGGGGUGAAAUCCUGGAGCUCAACUCCAGAACUGCCUCUGAUACUGAGGAUCUUGAGUUCGGGAGAGGUGAGUGGAACUGCGAGUGUAGAGGUGAAAUUCGUAGAUAUUCGCAAGAACACCAGUGGCGAAGGCGGCUCACUGGCCCGAUACUGACGCUGAGGCACGAAAGCGUGGGGAGCAAACAGG
RNAcentral lists this ribosomal RNA (253 nucleotides) under uncultured bacterium. RNAcentral describes it as "partial 16S ribosomal RNA". It matches the Rfam family "Bacterial small subunit ribosomal RNA", at positions 524 to 776 of the family's 1533-position model. The record is from RNAcentral.